This 500-nucleotide ribosomal RNA is filed under the name uncultured bacterium. Its description in RNAcentral is "partial 16S ribosomal RNA". It matches the Rfam family "Bacterial small subunit ribosomal RNA", at positions 30 to 523 of the family's 1533-position model. The record is from RNAcentral.
AUUGAACGCUGGCGGAAUGCUUUACACAUGCAAGUCGAACGGCAGCACGGACUUCGGUCUGGUGGCGAGUGGCGAACGGGUGAGUAAUGUAUCGGAACGUGCCCAGUCGUGGGGGAUAACGUAGUGAAAAUUACGCUAAUACCGCAUACGAUCUAUGGAUGAAAGCGGGGGAUCGCAAGACCUCGCGCGAUUGGAGCGGCCGAUAUCAGAUUAGGUAGUUGGUGAGGUAAAGGCUCACCAAGGCGACGAUCCGUAGCGGGUCUGAGAGGAUGAUCCGCCACACUGGGACUGAGACACGGCCCAGACUCCUACGGGAGGCAGCAGUGGGGAAUUUUGGACAAUGGGGGCAACCCUGAUCCAGCCAUGCCGCGUGAGUGAAGAAGGCCUUCGGGUUGUAAAGCUCUUUCGCGAGGGAAGAAAGCGCACUGGUUAAUACCUGGUGUGGAUGACGGUACCUUGAUAAGAAGCACCGGCUAACUACGUGCCAGCCGCCGCGGUAA